CCUACGGGAGGCAGCAGUCGAGAAUUAUUCACAAUGGGGGAAACCCUGAUGGUGCGACGCCGCGUGGGGGAAUGAAGGUCUUCGGAUUGUAAACCCCUGUCAUGUGGGAGCAAAUUAAAAAGAUAGUACCACAAGAGGAAGAGACGGCUAACUCUGUGCCAGCAGCCGCGGUAAUACAGAGGUCUCAAGCGUUGUUCGGAAUCACUGGGCGUAAAGUGUGCGUAGGCUGUUUCGUAAGUCGUGUGUGAAAGGCGCGGGCUCAACCCGCGGACGGCACAUGAUACUGCGAGACUAGAGUAAUGGAGGGGGAACCGGAAUUCUCGGUGUAGCAGUGAAAUGCGUAGAUAUCGAGAGGAACACUCGUGGCGAAGGCGGGUUCCUGGACAUUAACUGACGCUGAGGCACGAAGGCCAGGGGAGCGAAAGGGAUUAGAUACCCGAGUAGUC
This 446-nucleotide ribosomal RNA is filed under the name uncultured bacterium. Its description in RNAcentral is "partial 16S ribosomal RNA". It matches the Rfam family "Bacterial small subunit ribosomal RNA", at positions 338 to 795 of the family's 1533-position model. The record is from RNAcentral.